AGUGGCGAACGGGUGAGUAACGCGUGGAUGAUCUACCUACGAGAUGGGGAUAACUAUUAGAAAUAGUAGCUAAUACCGAAUAAAGUCAAUUAAUUUGUUAAUUGAUGAAAGGAAGCCUUUAAAGCUUCGCUUGUAGAUGAGUCUGCGUCUUAUUAGCUAGUUGGUAGGGUAAAUGCCUACCAAGGCGAUGAUAAGUAACCGGCCUGAGAGGGUGCACGGUCACACUGGAACUGAGAUACGGUCCAGACUCCUACGGGAGGCAGCAGCUAAGAAUCUUCCGCAAUGGGCGAAAGCCUGACGGAGCGACACUGCGUGAAUGAAGAAGGUCGAAAGAUUGUAAAAUUCUUUUAUAAAUGAGGAAUAAGCUUUGUAGGAAAUGACGAAGUGAUGACGUUAAUUUAUGAAUAAGCCCCGGCUAAUUACGUGCCAGCAGCCGCGGUAAUACGUAAGGGGCGAGCGUUGUUCGGGAUUAUUGGGCGUAAAGGGUGAGUAGGCGGAUAUAUAAGUCUAUGCAUAAAAUACCACAGCUCAACUGUGGAACUAUGUUGGAAACUAUAUGUCUAGAGUCUGAUA
This 573-nucleotide ribosomal RNA is filed under the name Borreliella garinii. RNAcentral describes it as "bacterial SSU rRNA". It matches the Rfam family "Bacterial small subunit ribosomal RNA", at positions 94 to 653 of the family's 1533-position model. Lineage: Bacteria; Pseudomonadati; Spirochaetota; Spirochaetia; Spirochaetales; Borreliaceae. The record is from RNAcentral.